RNAcentral lists this ribosomal RNA (460 nucleotides) under uncultured bacterium. RNAcentral's name for it is "partial 16S ribosomal RNA". It matches the Rfam family "Bacterial small subunit ribosomal RNA", at positions 338 to 795 of the family's 1533-position model. The record is from RNAcentral.
CCUACGGGUGGCAGCAGUGAGGAAUAUUGGUCAAUGGACGAGAGUCUGAACCAGCCAAGUAGCGUGAAGGAUGACUGCCCUAUGGGUUGUAAACUUCUUUUAUAUGGGAAUAAAAUGUUCCACGUGUGGGAUUUUGUAUGUACCAUAUGAAUAAGGAUCGGCUAACUCCGUGCCAGCAGCAGCGGUAAUACGGAGGAUCCGAGCGUUAUCCGGAUUUAUUGGGUUUAAAGGGAGCGUAGGUGGAUUGUUAAGUCAGUUGUGAAAGUUUGCGGCUCAACCGUAAAAUUGCAGUUGAAACUGGCAGUCUUGAGUACAGUAGAGGUGGGCGGAAUUCGUGGUGUAGCGGUGAAAUGCUUAGAUAUCACGAAGAACUCCGAUUGCGAAGGCAGUUCACUGGACUGCAACUGACACUGAGGCUCGAAAGUGUGGGUAUCAAACAGGAGUAGAUACCCGAGUAGUC